Molecule: long non-coding RNA, 181 nt
Organism: Leucoraja erinaceus (little skate)
Lineage: Eukaryota; Metazoa; Chordata; Chondrichthyes; Rajiformes; Rajidae
Exons: 6
Source: RefSeq, a predicted model, not a curated record
AGAUUUCGAAGCAAAGGAAAAGAUUGAUGACGAAGAGGCAAGAGAGAAAAAUUCAGAAAUAGCAUCGCUCAAAAAAAAUCUCAUUGAUACAGAAGAAAAACUGCGACAGAGAGAAAAGGAAAAAGAACAUCUGAAUGAGUUAUUGGUAGAUUGUGACGCCGAUUUGAAAUACAAAUUAAAG